Betta splendens (Siamese fighting fish) is the source of this 1398-nucleotide long non-coding RNA. RefSeq lists it as uncharacterized. The record is from RefSeq and is a predicted model, not a curated record. The transcript has 2 exons. NCBI's taxonomy places the organism in Eukaryota, Metazoa, Chordata, Actinopteri, Anabantiformes, Osphronemidae.
CUCUGACACACGUUUCUCAACUAGCCGAAUACAUCCGAUGAGGUAAUUAGAGGCAGGUGGUCGCAGGAAGCGAGUGUGAACUCACUGAGGGCGACUAGUGGUCAGGUGGAGAACUGCAGCAGCAUCCACAGGUUUCAGUGAGCACUAGAUGCAGUCAUUCAGCUGCGUCUGUGGCUGCAUCGACAGAAGGACUGAGCCGUGACCUGCACCGAGCUAUGAACCUGCUGGUCAGCAGCUCCCAGCUUCACCUGGAGCCUGUGAGAAGAUGUCACCACCACUGAUAGUGACCUUCAUCAUCACCUUUAAUGUGGUGAAUCACAUGAUAAGGAGGCAACAACAGAGACAACAGACGAGUUUCUGCUUUGGAUUCUGAAGGAAGCUCUAACAUCAAAGUGUUUUUUUCUUAUUCUGAACCAAGAGAUGAAGAGAAGCUCACUGUCAAUGAAGGAACCACUGCAUUUAUCCAAUGCUUUAAAUGAUCAAUUACAGAGAUUUAUCAAGGGACACUGAAUGAUGCGUUUAGGAGCAUCUGGAGAAAUAAGUUCUCUAUGUUCAGCUCCAACAGGUGCUUUGUCCUGAGGUGGAUGUAGAACAAUGAAAAUUUGAGGAAAUUCCCUGGGAGAUAGAAUAAUACAGCUACACUUCAGCAUGUGAGCUGUAGAUCUGUCUUCUUUGCUCCAGUCUGUAUUAACACAGAUUUAAUGCCGUCUGGUUCUCAUAUGGUUAAUGUUGGCUUGGUUCAUUACGGAGUGUCACAACCCGGCUCAGCUGAAGAGAGAGAAAACAGGCCAUGAGAAAAGAGAGUCUGUGUCCAUCAGAGGAGAAGCAGCGUGAGGGAGCCUCCCAGCAAAGAAUCCCUCCAGCAGAUGAAUCUGAAUGGAAAAGCAGCAACAGCUUCAGCUGAUGGAUGAAUGUGACCAGGAUCUUCAGCCUGAGAGAAGUAGGAACAGCUGAGCCCAGUGGGAGUCACUCAUGUCAGACUGAUGGACACUUACACCAAAGCAGGAUGAAGAGAAACUGGGUCAGAACACGGUUCUGAACGGAUUCAACUGCGUCAGAGAAAAGUGAAUCAGAAACACUCUGAACCAGAGAUUUUAUUACAUUAUUAUUUCAGUACAAACAGAAUGUGGAGGUUCAUCAUGUGACUCUGAAUUUAUUAUGACUCAUGUUACAUCAUGAUUGUUACAAUAUAAUCAUACCACAAAGUGAUGGACAUUUAUAUACUGUGAUUAUAACAUGUGAUGGUUUAUUGUUAGGUUAAAUGCUCUAGAGGUGCAGACGCAACACACUAUGUUCCCACAGCCUGUUCCAGAUUCCCAUCAAAGCCACAACUCUCCAGACAAAGGAAGUUCACAAGGAAUUAUUUAGAACUGGUUCAGAAAAAAAAAACGGGUUUAA